This 469-nucleotide ribosomal RNA is filed under the name Tityus kuryi. RNAcentral's name for it is "partial 16S ribosomal RNA". It matches the Rfam family "Bacterial large subunit ribosomal RNA", at positions 1890 to 2600 of the family's 2925-position model. Lineage: Eukaryota; Metazoa; Arthropoda; Arachnida; Scorpiones; Buthidae. The record is from RNAcentral.
UUCUUUUAGAAAAAAUUAAAAGUAUACUCUGCUCAAUGCCAAGUAAAUAGCCGCAGUAUCCUGACUGUGCAAAGGUAGCAUAAUAAUUAGUCCUUUAAUUGAGGACUGGAAUGAAAGAGUUAAUUAAAAAUAUAAUAUUUUAUAAUUAUUUCUUAAAAUUUACCUUUUAGUAAAAAGGCUAAAAUAAUCUUUAUAGACAAAAAGACCCUAUAAAUCUUUACAUCUAAUAAUCUAAAAAUUAAUAUAAUGUUUUGCUGGGGCAGCCAGAAAGUAAACGUUUCUAAAUUUUAAUUAAAUUAAUUAUACCUAGAAUUUCUAAAACUUAACCAAGAUACUUUAGGGAUAACAGCAUUUUCUAUUUUAAAAGACCAAAUUGAUAAAUAAAAACGUGACCUCGAUGUUGGAUUUAAAGUCCCUUUUUUUCGCAAAAGGAAAAAAAGGGGGUCUGUUCGACCCUUAAAUCUUUCCA